UACGUAGGAUGCAAGCGUUGUCCGGAAUUAUUGGGCGUAAAGAGUUCGUAGGCGGUUGCCUAAGUCUGGUGUUAAAUACAGGAGCUCAACUUCUGCAUGGCACUGGAAACUGGGCGGCUAGAGUGUGGUAGAGGUCACGGGAAUUCCAGGUGUAGCGGUGAAAUGCGUAGAUAUCAUUUGGAACACCAAUGGUGAAAACAGCUCGCUGGGAGUGUGCUGACGCUGAGACACGAAAGCCAGGGGAGCGAACGGG
Molecule: ribosomal RNA, 253 nt
Filed under: uncultured bacterium
Lineage: Bacteria
Description: partial 16S ribosomal RNA
Rfam family: Bacterial small subunit ribosomal RNA
Source: RNAcentral